Long non-coding RNA from Rhinichthys klamathensis goyatoka, 192 nucleotides. RefSeq lists it as uncharacterized. NCBI's taxonomy places the organism in Eukaryota, Metazoa, Chordata, Actinopteri, Cypriniformes, Leuciscidae. The record is from RefSeq and is a predicted model, not a curated record. The transcript has 2 exons.
AACACUGAUUCAUCCAGUAAUGAAACAAGUGAAGUCUGUAUGAGUGAGUCAUUGAAUCAUUCAUUCAAGAGAUUUGUUCAAAAAUGCUGAUUCAUCCACAAGUGAAGAUUUGAGUGAGUCAUUGAAUCAUUCAUUCAAGAGAUUUGUUCAAAAAUGCUGAUUCAUCCAGUAAUGAAACAAGUGAAGUCUUUA